UCGCCUGUUUUUACAAAAACAUCGCCUCUUGUAAUAUAAAUAUAAGAGGUCCCGCCUGCCCUGUGACUGUUUAAGUUUAACGGCCGCGGUAUUUUGACCGUGCAAAGGUAGCGCAACCACUUGUCUUUUAAAUAGAGACCUGUAUGAAUGGCAUCACGAGGGCUAAACUGUCUCCUUUUCCCAGUCAAUGAAAUUGAUCUCCCCGUGAAGAAGCGGGGAUAAGCUUAUAAGACGAGAAGACCCUGUGGAGCUUUAAACAAGUAGCGGGCCAUGUCAAACACAUUAAAUAAGUGAAACAAAAUGGAUACCUCUUACAGUUUUUGGUUGGGGCGACCGCGGGGUAACAGAAAACCCCCACGUGGAAUGGGGACACCUCCCCUACAACUACGAACAACCUCUCUAAUUAACGGAAUAUCCGACCAACAAUGAUCCGGUAAGCCGAUCAACGAACCGAGUUACCCCAGGGAUAACAGCGCAAUCCCCUUCUAGAGACCCUAUCGCCAAGGGGGUUUACGACCUCGAUGUUGGAUCAGGACAUCCUAAUGGUGCAGCCGCUAUUAAGGGUUCGUUUGUUCAACGAUUAAAGUC
Molecule: ribosomal RNA, 588 nt
Filed under: Halieutaea sp. VAD-2015
Lineage: Eukaryota; Metazoa; Chordata; Actinopteri; Lophiiformes; Ogcocephalidae
Description: partial 16S large subunit ribosomal RNA
Rfam family: Bacterial large subunit ribosomal RNA
Source: RNAcentral